This is a long non-coding RNA of Mangifera indica (mango), 313 nucleotides long. RefSeq lists it as uncharacterized. The transcript has 2 exons. The record is from RefSeq and is a predicted model, not a curated record. Lineage: Eukaryota; Viridiplantae; Streptophyta; Magnoliopsida; Sapindales; Anacardiaceae.
GUAAAGAGUAUUAUUGCCGUGAAACUGUCUUUACCUAACAGAACUAAAAGCUUGACAGCACUGAGUGUCUUUUACGAGGGAAGUUUGCUGCUGGAAUUGCUUCAGUUCUGCAUUGCGUGGAGUUCAACAUGAGGGAGAGUUUAAUCCAUGUCUGGAUGAUUUCAACCCAAGUGCAAAUGAUUCUGAUUUGGAUGAAUUUCCUCAAGAUUGUUGGCUCAACAAUGGAUGUGGCAGCCACAACUAUGCUGAGCCCUAGAGACAAUGAUGGGGCAAAAGAUAAUGUAUGUUGCUGCAUAAUUUUAUGAUGAAGAUG